GGGGUUGUGGCUCAGUGAUAGAGCUCACGCUUUGCACUUGUGAUGCAAUGAGUUCGAUCCUCAGCACCACA
Molecule: transfer RNA, 71 nt
Filed under: Marmota monax (woodchuck)
Lineage: Eukaryota; Metazoa; Chordata; Mammalia; Rodentia; Sciuridae
Description: tRNA.Ala
Source: RNAcentral